Pygocentrus nattereri (red-bellied piranha) is the source of this 349-nucleotide long non-coding RNA. RefSeq lists it as uncharacterized. The record is from RefSeq and is a predicted model, not a curated record. The transcript has 4 exons. NCBI's taxonomy places the organism in Eukaryota, Metazoa, Chordata, Actinopteri, Characiformes, Serrasalmidae.
GACCUUUGGAAGUGCUAAGAUGCCUCACAAGUUACUUCAAGGAAGCAACUGUCCUGUUGGUUGCAGACAAGGAUGGCCAGAAAGAACUACCCAGCACUCCUUGCAUCAUUGUCAUUGGGUCUCCUGGGGAUCAACACUGAACGUGGCUCAAAAGCUGAAUCGAAGUGCAAGAAGCACUUCAAAAUCAAUCCUAAGCUUCUGAAAUUCCUGAAGGACCUCAGUGACUUUCAGAAUCCAUUCAAAAUUUAAAUGGACAAGGCAUUUGGAGCCCUCAGAUGCUGCACAAUGGACUCAUUUAACAAUUUGAAAUGAAGUGUUAGGAUGAGAAGUCCUAAGUUCUGUGGUGUUU